RNAcentral lists this ribosomal RNA (251 nucleotides) under uncultured bacterium. Its description in RNAcentral is "partial 16S ribosomal RNA". It matches the Rfam family "Bacterial small subunit ribosomal RNA", at positions 524 to 774 of the family's 1533-position model. The record is from RNAcentral.
UACGAAGGGGGCUAGCGUUGUUCGGAAUUACUGGGCGUAAAGCGUAUGCAGGCGGAUCGUUAAGUCGGGGGUGAAAUCCCGAGGCUCAACCUCGGAACUGCCUUCGAUACUGGCGAUCUUGAGUCCGGGAGAGGUGAGUGGAACUCCGAGUGUAGAGGUGAAAUUCGUAGAUAUUCGGAAGAACACCAGUGGCGAAGGCGGCUCACUGGCCCGGUACUGACGCUGAGAUACGAAAGCGUGGGGAGCAAACA